UCGAAACCUGCAAAGCAGAACGACCCGCGAACUCGUUUACCAACCCCCGAGGGGCGGGGCCUGCCCCGUCCCCCUCGGGGCCGGAACGCGCCUCACGGCGCGCKACGGCAAGAACCCAAACACCGGCGCGGGUUGCGCCAAGGACYACGAAAUUCUACCGCGUCCCGCGGCCCCGGGCGACCGGACGUCGCGGCGAAUGCGCGUCGAAAGAUCUAACAGAACGACUCUCGGCAACGGAUAUCUCGGCUCUCGCAUCGAUGAAGAACGUAGCGAAAUGCGAUACUUGGUGUGAAUUGCAGAAUCCCGUGAACCAUCGAGUCUUUGAACGCAAGUUGCGCCCGAAGCCAUCCGGCCGAGGGCACGUCUGCCUGGGCGUCACGCAUCGCGUCGCCCCCUCCCCCUCCAUCGCGGAGCGGGGGAGGGGCGGAGUAUGGCCCCCCGUGCGCCCCCGCGCGCGGCCGGCCUAAACACGGAGCCCGUGGGCGCGAGCGCCGCGACGUUUGGUGGUUGAAUCUCGAGCAUCGCGUCGCGCGCAGUAGCGUACUCGGAGAAGCUCGGAGGACCCUUAGGCGCAGCUGCCUACCCUUGCGACCCC
RNAcentral lists this ribosomal RNA (595 nucleotides) under Eriogonum longifolium. RNAcentral's name for it is "eukaryotic LSU rRNA". The stretch from base 223 to 378 matches the Rfam family "5.8S ribosomal RNA". Lineage: Eukaryota; Viridiplantae; Streptophyta; Magnoliopsida; Caryophyllales; Polygonaceae. The record is from RNAcentral.